GCGCGGGGCGGAGAGGGGGGGAGAUGGCGGCGGCCCGCCCUUGGCAAGGGUCGUGCAGGCGGCCGGGCUUCGGAGGGGGGGUGUGCGUGCCCCCGAGCGGCCGGCCUGCCGGCGGUCGGAGCCGGAACGUGUGUUUCCAAACCAAGGAAGAGCUGCUUUGGGAGAAGGCUGUGCGAGGGUACCGCGGUGCGGUGCUGGUAACGGCUGCCUUCAGGAUUUUGUGUGCUAGUUGGGGGAAGGAGUUAAGUCCUUCGCUGUUCCUCCUUUUCCCCACGAUGGAGUCUUUUCUGACCAAAGAACACUUCACUGAAUGCUUCUGUAGAGUUCGUCUGAUUCCAGAAACCACAGCACAUGAUGGCAAAAAUAUUGUGCAGGUGCCUUUACCUUGUAUAGAAAAUGUAACAUUGAUCCAUAGAAGAUUGACAAGGUGUUAGCAGUUCUUCAUCCAGUGCAAGGAAGACGGGAUGUAGUGGACUCUGCACUUGAAUCAUUAAAAAGAAUCACAAAAUGGAUUGGAAGGGACCUCUGAAGAUCAUGUAGUCCACACCCCCAUACUGAGCAGGGUCACCUAGAGCACAUUGCACAGGAUGGCAUCCAGUUCUAGGGUUUUUAUAUUCAAGAUGCGAUGAAGUCUACUUUAAUCAAUGUGAUCUUUUCAUUAAGUCAAUUUGACUGCAUUGAAAUGGGGACUCUCACUUUGGAAUACCUCUGCUAUGUUUCAUCAUCGCUUUGGUGGAUGUUUUAAUAAAUGAGACCCAGGUAUGUGUACCAAGAAAGGGAAGAAGAUAAUAAAAUUAGGAGUUCUGCUGUGAAAAUCCUUGCACUCAAAGGAAAAGGAGUGAGAACAAUCAAUCAGAGGAGUGACUUCCCCAGGGAUGUGAUAGAAUCCCCAUCACCAGAGGCUUUCAAGACAAGACUGGACAGGGUGCAGGAUAAUAUCAUCUAAGUUCCCAUUUAGCCUGAAAGACUUUGAAAUAAUCACUGUGGUGGGACAGGAAGCAGAAACAAACAUGAAACUGGAGGCAGGGACCUUGAUCAUCGAAGACUUUGAGCAGACCCAUUUCAGACAUGGGAAAGGAUUGCUGAAGACUACUUUGCUACAAAGGAGAAGUCUAAACUCUUUGUUUUGACACCAACAGGGAAAAACUGUGGAAAACGUAGUUCUUACCUUCACAUAUGUACUUCUGUAACUGGAGCUGGUUACCCUAAUAAUGAGUGAGCACUUCAGCGAGGCUGAGACUGAGAAGUUUGCUGUUAGUCCUGAAGAUUUCAGACUGUGAGCAAUUACGUGAUUGUAAAAUCUCUGCUGCAGGAACUUGAGCAAUGAAAAACAGUGGAUUAGACACAGAUGCAGAAGAUUACCGUUCUACCUGUUCAGAUUCAGGUUGUGUGGAAAAGAGAAGGAAAAUGAAUAGGUUAGCUAUCCAAAAAAAUGAACUGAAAAACUGAACACUACUUGAAUCAGAUGCACAAGGACAGCAUGAAACAGAGGAUCUUCGUUUUAGAAGAAUAACCUCUUCAGAAGCUCUCUGAAAUUGUCUGUCUACUCUAACCAGUUGCAUCAUGAAGACACAAAUUUCAAAGGCUGUCCCCAAGUUCAAGGAGGAUUAACUAAAAGCAAGGCCUCAUAGGGACACUUUUAAGGAGAUGCUAAUACAUGCAGUGUUUGGACUCCCAGGAGAACACUCUUUAGUUACUUAAAUGGCAUAAUACGUUGUUUUUUUUAAGGGGGAAGGCUUAGAUCAAAUUUUGGUUGUGAAGUGCUAUGCACAGCAUUUGAUACUGCGGGCAUUCUAAGACAGGUAACUUGUGCCCUUACGUAUUUGUUCCAGUGGCAACAUAUGUGCAUGCUCAGUGACUGCUUUUCUUUUGCCUUCACAGGGAUCACUAUAGGCAAACCAAUAAAGAUAACUGGAUCUGAAACACACAUAGUAUGUCUGAGAGUGACAGGACCACUGUGUCUGUCUGUAUUACCUUAUCAUUGCAACAACCUUCAAAUGCUUUGUACUGCAGUCAGGAUAAAGAGUGGUCAUGAAAAGAAGAGAGCAUUGCCUUGAAAUCUGUCACCUUACUUUUGAGUCCCUUGUCAUUUUCAGUUGCUUAUUUUGCUUCAUGCUGUUUGUCUUGAGGAAAAUCUGUAGACUGGUAUCCCUUGGGGAGUUGACUUAGGCUUUACUCAGUCUGGCGUAACAGGAAUUUAUACAGACUGCACUUCAGACUGAGAAGAGCCAUAGCAACAGCCUGUGAGAAAAGCUUGGCUGUUGACCCUUGCUGUGUAUUCCACUGUGGUGAAAGAAAAAUCAGAAUUGAGAGAAGAUAGGUGAAGUUCGUAAUGGAAAAGCCUUGUUACAUAAGGGCUGUUCCCUGUGACAUCUCUUUGUAAGUAUGUCUGUAAGUACGCUAUAGCACAGUCUCCAUUUCAAAUAACUUACCUUAAACCACAUCAAAACAGGGCUAUCUGUGGCCGAAGCUCAUUUAAGGGAGAAUGGGACUGCUAUGUGGCUUGCGUGCUUCUCUGCCAUGAGUGGAAGGGAUCAGUGGUGUUGUGAUUCUAAACAUAUGUGAUGUCAAAGUAAACAGACUACAGAGCUUUCUGAAGACUAAGGAUUGGGUAAGAAGGGCAUGUUCUCAGCACCUGUGACGGCCAGGUGACACCAGAAAUGACUGCUUCAACUAGCUUUGGAGAGGUGGACAGUUUUCUAUGUGAGUUACUGUGACUGGAAACUGAAAAAUCAGC
Long non-coding RNA from Cygnus olor (mute swan), 2737 nucleotides. RefSeq lists it as uncharacterized. Lineage: Eukaryota; Metazoa; Chordata; Aves; Anseriformes; Anatidae. The transcript has 12 exons. The record is from RefSeq and is a predicted model, not a curated record.